RNA transcript from Adelges cooleyi (spruce gall adelgid), 1127 nucleotides. RefSeq lists it as uncharacterized. Lineage: Eukaryota; Metazoa; Arthropoda; Insecta; Hemiptera; Adelgidae. The record is from RefSeq and is a predicted model, not a curated record. The transcript has 6 exons.
UUUAUAAAUUCAUUCGUACACCGUACCUAUCAUUCUUAAGUCUUACGUUUACCGAACAGCAAUGCGGUUUCAUUUGUUGGCGUUUAUCUAAUUUGUACACGUCACUCGAUCACAAUGGAAUCACAAAAAAAUCGUUUGUUGGUACGUUUGUUGUUUGUCGUGGCGCUGACCGUCCAAUCAAGUUGUUCGGAGUCCGUCGAAGAUGUCGACGUGUGCGCCAACCGAACGGCGUCGCUGGUCGGAGAUACCAUGUGUUCAUUAAACAACGUGCCGUUUGUGUGGGCGCCGGAAUACGAAGUGGCCAUAGUGUACAUUACUUCCACGUGGUCCGAAAUCGCCACUUUCAACAGUUCCGCAGAGGACACCAUUGCCAAGGAAGCGUUCCUUUCCUAUUGCGUUAGAUUCAAAAACAACAUGUUUAACUUUAUGAAAAAAUUCAACUCCAACGAAAACGAAAAAGUAAAAAAAGCCGUCUUUGAGUGGUAUCAACAUGUUAACAGUGUUUCGCAGAAUGACUGGUACAUUACACCGGACGUGUCGACUUUACGGCACUUUGGAGAGCAUUUUAAAAUUUCUUUCAAGGGAGUAGUCCUCGAGAGCAGUAACAUCUUUAAUUCAGCGUCCUUUGUAAAAACCAAGCGAUACGUGGACAAGUUUACAAGCGGGAUCGUUUACACGAUGGUCGAAGCGCUGAAAACGAUUUCGAAAGAAAUCCGUGAUAUUCCAAAAAUCGAAACACCGCAGACAUAAACAAUUCGAAUAGUACUUAACCUUGUGAUAUUUGAAUAUUGUUUUGUUAAUAAAAUGGAAAUUAUCACUUAAGAGCAUAGGCUUGUCAUUUGAAAAAAUAUUUGUACUUUAUGUUAAACAGAUAAUGCACUUAUUUUGUCAUUUAAAGCUGAUUCUUCAACCAAUGUCUAAUAACUUGUUUUAGUUAAUGACGACCAAAACGGGUCAGACGAAACAAAAAAAGACGUAACUAGUUGGUACAAACACAUUGAAUACUUGGCGAGCAAUGGACCGGUGGACCAAGACUUGAGAAGUUUUCAAAAUACAUUUCAAAACGCAUUCAAACAUCUCGUCAUAAAAGCUAGUCAAGUUGUGGGCAAAACAAACAACAACGAAAC